This 138-nucleotide ribosomal RNA is filed under the name Triticum aestivum (bread wheat). The record is from RNAcentral. Lineage: Eukaryota; Viridiplantae; Streptophyta; Magnoliopsida; Poales; Poaceae.
CAAUCCUUAUGGUUUUUAUAUCCGGUUAGAAUAAUAAGAAAGAAUCAAAGUCCAGGUUGGUUGGUGAGCCUAGUGAUAGGAGACUAUCUAGCUUGGUUCGGAGAGCACUUGUUGGGUUUCAGAUUCAUUUUUUGCUAA